GAUGAACGCUGGCGGCGUGCUUAACACAUGCAAGUCGAACGAGAAGUGAAGACGGAAACCUUCGGGCGGAAGGCUUUAUUUCGAGUGGCGGACGGGUGAGUAACGCGUGGGUAACCUGCCUCAUACAGGGGGAUAACAGUUGGAAACGACUGUUAAUACCGCAUAAGACCACCGCACCGCAUGGUGCGGGGGUAAAAACUCCGGUGGUAUGAGAUGGACCCGCGUUCGAUUAGCCAGUUGGCGGGGUAACGGCCCACCAAAGCGACGAUCGAUAGCCGAUCUGAGAGGAUGACCGGCCACAUUGGGACUGAGACACGGCCCAAACUCCUACGGGAGGCAGCAGUGGGGAAUAUUGCACAAUGGGGGAAACACUGAUGCAGCGACGCCGCGUGAGUGAAGAAGUAUUUCGGUAUGUAAAGCUCUAUCAGCAGGGAAGAAAAUGACGGUACCUGAGGAAGAAGCCCCGGCUAACUACGUG
Molecule: ribosomal RNA, 478 nt
Filed under: uncultured bacterium
Lineage: Bacteria
Description: partial 16S ribosomal RNA
Rfam family: Bacterial small subunit ribosomal RNA
Source: RNAcentral